UUUAGAGAGAGAGAAGGGAGGUGCGGCGGUCGGUGACCGACGGUGGUCCGGGUGUGGCGAGUGAUGGUGGUCCUGCUACCCUUAAUUUUUAUCUGGAACCAUUUCUCGACAUCCCAAACUCUAUGGACUGGAAUUGAAGAAAAAGGGAAUUACGCUCGGUAGCAUCUAACAAGAAGUCAACGGGUCAGAAAGGGGAUUCGAAGUAUAGCUAAUCCUACAGGCAAAGGUAAAACUCAUGGAUAGAUUCUAAAGUUGAGGAUCA
This 262-nucleotide long non-coding RNA is filed under the name Helianthus annuus (common sunflower). RNAcentral's name for it is "sRNA HanXRQr2_Chr13g0607411". Lineage: Eukaryota; Viridiplantae; Streptophyta; Magnoliopsida; Asterales; Asteraceae. The record is from RNAcentral.